This 2327-nucleotide long non-coding RNA is filed under the name Homo sapiens (human). Its description in RNAcentral is "HSALNT0314494". Lineage: Eukaryota; Metazoa; Chordata; Mammalia; Primates; Hominidae. The record is from RNAcentral.
GCCAGCCUCAGCCUCCCAAAGUGCUGAGAUUACAGGCAUGAGCCACUGUGCCUGGCCCCAGAAAGCAAUUCUUGAUUCCCUUACAGGAAAAGAAAGAAUGCCACAAUCCCACCGACUCAAAAGCAACUAGAAGCCAGGCACAGUGGCUCACUCCAAUAAUCCCAACACUUUGGGAGGUCGAGGUGGGAGGACUGCUUGAGGCCAGGAGUUCAAGGACAGCUUGGACAACAUAGAUAACUGCAGUCUCAGAGAAGACCCCCAGAAACCCAAAAUGCUUCCAGCCACAGAGGAGGAGAGCAGCUGGCAGCCAGAAGCAUCCAUUCCAAGUGAGAGACAUCGAAGGGAACAAGGCUUAACCGCCUUGUCUUUGAACAGCACUAAAUGAUUCAGCAAAAGGGAUGAGAGGAAACCUUUGGCCAUGUCACGGGUUCACAGCCAUCUGUAUAUGUUCCUAUAGUCCUGCUUUGUACCUCCAGCCUAAAUGAUGGGGAGGUCGUUUGAAGAUGAGACUGACCCUUCACUACAUGUGCUGCUUCCAACCCCAGAUUCCAUCAGGCUGCACUUCUGAGAUUCAGUGAACUCCCACUCAUCCUUCAAAACCCUAUCUCAAUGUCGCUGCCAUAGCAAAGCCUUCCCUGGCCCCCUCGGGUAGGGAGGGUCUCUCUGCCCACUGGCAGGCCAAGAAGGCCAAGCUCUGCCCUCUGAGAAUCCAUCAGUGUCCCAAGCUGACUUUCCCUAGCCUCGUAUCCCUUCAUUCCAUGAAAGGGGAACUUAGGGUGGAGUGGAAAUUUUGAUCAUCUAAAGGAACAAUAAUUGCUUUCAUUCAUUCAUUUAAACAAUAUGUAUUGAGCACCUACCAAGGACCAGGCCUUGUGCUAAGUGCCCCCACAGAGGUCACAAUAGUCAUAUACUACAAACAAAUACAGCAUCACAAAGGUUGGCGCAUGAAGAGACAGCAGCUAAGGGCAUGGUCCUGGAGCCAGAAUGCCUGGAUUUGAAUCACAGCUCUACUACUUCCCAGCAGCUUGUUGAGCUUAGCCAAGUCUCUAAGCCCCUCUGAGCCUCAGCUUUAUCACCUGUAAAAUAGGGAUAAAAGCAGCAUCUGCCCUAUUCAUCUGUUCACAGGAAUACAUGGCCUAUGGAGGGAAAGUACCCAGGCUCCUGAGUGGGCCCUCCUGGCCCACGGCAGAAGCCGUGUGCAUGUCUGUUCAACAGAUACCUUUGGUGGCCUGUAUGUACCAGGCGCUUCUAUUCUCUGCUGGUCAAGGAAGGCUCACGGUGGAAUAGGAUUUAGCCCCGGGAGAGACAGCAGGGGCAUUCUAAAGACAUCGACUAGCUGGCAUCCUGUGCCAGGCAUCCCAACCUUUUGCGCAUCGCGGCUCACCUGGAAAAGACGUGGGGGUGAGGAAGGAGGUGCCACCUGCAUGAGGCAUGGCAGAAAAGCAUGACAUCACCUUUAUAGUGCAAAGCUUGACAGGAAGAAUAAGAUACAAAGUACUUAAAGAAGAUAAUCGAUAUUGGAUGUGUAUUAAAUUUCCAAGGAAAAUAUUUUUAAAUAUGUAAAUUAAUCUUGAGUUGGCUUCUACAAGCAUAACUUUUUUUUUUCUUUUUUUUUAUUUUGAUACAGAGUCUCGUUCUAUCACCCAGGCUGGAGUGCAGUGGUGUGAUCUCGGCUUACUGCAACCUCCGCCUCCCGGGUUCAAGUGAUUCUCGUGCCUCAGCCUUUUGAAUAACUGGGAUUAAAGGCGCACAACACCAUGCCUGGAUAACCUUUGUAUUUUUAGUAGAGGCGGAGUUUCACCAUAUUGGCCAGGCUGGUCUCAAACUUCCAACCUAACCGGGACCCACCCUGAUCUGCCUGCCUUGGCCUCCCAAAGUGCUGGGAUUACAGGUGUGAGCCACCGCAACCAGCCUUACAAGCAUAAAUUUUUUUAUACCAAUGUACCAGGUUUCAUGCUUGAGCUGACUAAGCACAGUCCGGGAUCAGGAAUGUUUUUCAGGGGUCAGUCCUUUGGGUUCCUGACAGUCACCACUGAUGAGAAGCGGCCGGGCAGGCAGUAGUGGAUGAGGACCACCUGUGGCACUACAGAGAGCCCUCUGGUGGCAGGUGGGAUGUCGACUGGGCACAGCUGCUGUGACUGAAUCUGAAAGGUGACAGUGGUGCCAAAGUUACCUUCCAAUAAAAUUUCAACUGUUGCACGUUUUUGAAUGGUUGUGAAAAAAUGAUUUUGUAACUAUAAAAAUGUAUAACUACAAAGAAUCUGUAAGCUUCAAUGGCUGGCAGGUUAGGGUUGGAAACCUGGGAGUUUGAGGGCUCCAGGGCCUGG